Molecule: long non-coding RNA, 776 nt
Filed under: Gallus gallus (chicken)
Lineage: Eukaryota; Metazoa; Chordata; Aves; Galliformes; Phasianidae
Description: lncRNA (ENSGALG00010005961.1)
Source: RNAcentral
GGUCAUUUGCCCAUUUUUAAAAAGGGGUGGGUGGGACGUUUUCAGACAGCUAUACAAAAUAAGCCCUGCUUGCACCAAACCCUUAACAUAAACAUAUCAAGCACAAGCUUAGCAGCUGCAUAGAAGUCAGCAUACAAAGAGUGGAAAGGCUUUUGAACUCAUGUUUCCAAAUUGGAUGGAUCUGCAGCGCUCGUAUUGGUGGCGGAUGAGGGGUAGACAGGAUCAAGCAUACUUCACAGGUCUCAUUAUGGACUUUCCAAGAAAUGGAGAAAUACAAACAAUAUUCUUAAACCAUCAUUCCUCUCCAAGUGAAAGCUUUAUGACUUUGGCUGAGAUGACUCUUUGCUACAAGCAAAAGGCUAGGAGGUUUGUCCCAGCCGAAAUUUCUACUGGAGCAACUGCUGCUGUUGGUAGACCUCCUAUGAGAGCCACGGACAGUAUGUCUUCCCUCAGAUGUUGUACCUUUUUCAUCUUGUUUCGCUAUAAUUUUAUUCAACAAUAUGAUUUGGAAAAAAUGUCCAUAAAUUCCUAUUUCAAAAUUCUGGGGAAACUUCUUGCUGUGCUUUAAUGCACUAGCAAACGUAGGCAGAUGUGUCUUUCUGUGAAACGUUAUGUCUGUAGUGUGUAGUAUUACGCAUAGUUGCUGCGAUCCCAGGGACCUCUUCUCUGUACUCUGGUCUGAUUUGGAGCCAGCGCUUUCUCUGGCAUUACACUGCAAUUAUUUAUAUCCACAAAUGUGAGUGUUAGUGACAAGCUGUUCAUUUGCAAUUGCGAUC